UUGAAGAACUCAACAGGCUCUUGAAACCGACACCCACAGCGGGUAAAAGAGCAACGUUCGAAUACCCUGAAGCACUGAUUUUUGCAGAAAAAGAAUCAA
This is a long non-coding RNA of Empidonax traillii (willow flycatcher), 99 nucleotides long. RefSeq lists it as uncharacterized. The transcript has 3 exons. The record is from RefSeq and is a predicted model, not a curated record. Lineage: Eukaryota; Metazoa; Chordata; Aves; Passeriformes; Tyrannidae.